UAGUAACUCUGAUAUUGGCCUGGUUCACUCAGACACACACUAUUUUGCUUUGAUUGAGCCGUGUCAAUAUCUCAGUUCCUUUU
RNAcentral lists this microRNA precursor (83 nucleotides) under Solanum tuberosum (potato). The record is from RNAcentral. Lineage: Eukaryota; Viridiplantae; Streptophyta; Magnoliopsida; Solanales; Solanaceae.